GAUGAACGCUGGCGGCGUGCUUAACACAUGCAAGUCGAACGGGAAUUACAUUUUAGCUUGCUAAGUUGUAAUUCUAGUGGCGGACGGGUGAGUAACGCGUGGGUAACCUGCCUUAUACCGGGGGACAACAGUUGGAAACGACUGCUAAUACCGCAUAAGCGCACGAUGAGGCAUCUCAUUGUGUGAAAAACUCCGGUGGUAUAAGAUGGACCCGCGUCUGAUUAGCCAGUUGGCGGUGUAACGGACCACCAAAGCGACGAUCAGUAGCCGGCCUGAGAGGGCAAACGGCCACAUUGGGACUGAGACACGGCCCAAACUCCUACGGGAGGCAGCAGUGGGGAAUAUUGCACAAUGGAGGAAACUCUGAUGCAGCGACGCCGCGUGAGUGAAGAAGUAUUUCGGUAUGUAAAGCUCUAUCAGCAGGAAAGAAAAUGACGUAC
This 440-nucleotide ribosomal RNA is filed under the name bacterium LE3002. RNAcentral describes it as "bacterial SSU rRNA". It matches the Rfam family "Bacterial small subunit ribosomal RNA", at positions 28 to 459 of the family's 1533-position model. The record is from RNAcentral.